RNAcentral lists this ribosomal RNA (468 nucleotides) under uncultured bacterium. RNAcentral describes it as "partial 16S ribosomal RNA". It matches the Rfam family "Bacterial small subunit ribosomal RNA", at positions 28 to 507 of the family's 1533-position model. The record is from RNAcentral.
GACGAACGCUGGCGGCGUGCUUAACACCUGCAAGUCGAACGGAAAGGCCCUGCUUUUGUGGGGUGCUCGAGUGGCGAACGGGUGAGUAACACGUGAGUAACCUGCCCUUGACUUUGGGAUAACUUCAGGAAACUGGGGCUAAUACCGGAUAGGAGCUCCUGCUGCAUGGUGGGGGUUGGAAAGUUUCGGCGGUUGGGGAUUGACUCGCGGCUUAUCAGCUUGUUGGUGGGGUAGUGGCUUACCAAGGCUUUGACGGGUAGCCGGCCUGAGAGGGUGACCGGCCACAUUGGGACUGAGAUACGGCCCAGACUCCUACGGGAGGCAGCAGUGGGGAAUAUUGCACAAUGGGCGGAAGCCUGAUGCAGCAACGCCGCGUGCGGGAUGACGGCCUUCGGGUUGUAAACCGCUUUCGCCUGUGACGAAGCGUGAGUGACGGUAAUGGGUAAAGAAGCACCGGCUAACUACGUG